UGGGGAAUUUUGCGCAAUGGGGGAAACCCUGACGCAGCAACGCCGCGUGGAGGAUGAAGUCCCUUGGGACGUAAACUCCUUUCGACCGAGACGGGCUCCUGGACGAACAAUCCGGGAGAGUGACGGUACCGAGAGAAGAAGCCCCGGCUAACUCC
This 155-nucleotide ribosomal RNA is filed under the name uncultured bacterium. RNAcentral's name for it is "partial 16S ribosomal RNA". It matches the Rfam family "Bacterial small subunit ribosomal RNA", at positions 355 to 504 of the family's 1533-position model. The record is from RNAcentral.